AAUCUUGAACUUUUGGCUGCUACUAACCAGCUACCAGAGUUUUUGCCCACUUCCUCGUGUCGUGCGCUGUGUGGCUUGUCAACUGGAGUGGGGUUGGGGUGACAGUGUAAUUGCCGGAAGCAAGCCGACUUGAGCAGAGAGGGUGGCGGGUGGCGGUACAUCCGGUAGGUCUACCUUUGAGCCCGGCAGCAGCUGGGUUUCCUGUCCCAUCCUACUUGGUAGAACCUCCCUGGCUGAAUUCCCCUAGAAACUGGGUGGAGUGGUCAGAAGGAGAGGGGAGCAGGGCUUGGCGAGUCUGGCAGGAGAGGCUGAAGAGGCUUGAGCAGCUGUGUCCUUGCGUUCCAGAAGCCAGAUCCGGGCUGGAAGAGCCCAGGGCACCGCCCUCAGUUCUCCAGGAGAGUGCGCCGGAGUGGAGCCAGGAGGGGUGUGCCCGACUCAACACGGGGGCCAUGCACGUCCAGUCUGCUGGCAUGGGCAGUGGGGAGCCGGGGGAAGUCAUGGCCUUGCGAAUGUCCUCUGAUGAAAAGGAACCUGCGGGCUUAAUAAAGUAACUUGCGUGGAACGUCGGUGUGCUGAAAAGCAGUUGUGUGUGCUUUUCCCCCUUGGUGUGGGUCAGUGGUGCUGAGGUAGCAGGCGCGAUACAGAACUGUGAGCAGAGACCUGGAAUCCCCAGACUCCAGGGAAACUGAAGGUGACGGCCAGCCUAGUGAAGAGGACAGGGGGCGGGGGCGGGGGCGGCAGCCCAGCAGGCGCCCCUCACCUUAGGGCCCUAAUCCUGGCUCCAGCCCGCUGGUCAGGGGAGCUGCACGGUCCCUUGGGUGAGCAGAGCCCACAGUCCUGAGCCGUUCUUCGCUGUGUUGGGUCAUCUCCCGCCAUCCAAGGGGGGAAUCUAGAUGAGGGUUAAGAAGUAGUGCUUUAAGAAUGUGGAUCUCAUAGUUGGAGCACGUGUCUUCAGCACAAGGUGUUAAAGUGAACGGAAGGAUUCAACCCCUUUUCGAGGAGGGCGUCUCCAUGUGGGCAGAACUAGAGAAUAAAUGGGUCUUGAAUACACUGUCUUGACUUGCGUUUCUGUCUUAUCAGCUGAGGGCGCAGCAGGAGUUGAGGGUGUGAGAGGGUCAGGCUCCUGGGCUCACAGCUUCCUGUUUGCGGGGGAGGAGGGAACAGGGGACCCUUGGCUUUUUCCCGGACAGUGGAUGUACACCUAGUGGCUCAUUGGCAUCAGUGGAGACGCCUUCGUAGGCUGGGCCACACUGCUCUGCGGCACAGGGAGAAGUUAAGUGUAGAAGCUCCUUACGAGAGAAAUUCCGUCAGCCCACCCUCCCAUCCCCAUCGGAACCACACCGGAUCCGGGCUGGGGGCUCAGCUUGCAGCGCCCUUGCCCUUGGCUCCAGUCAUAACCCCAGCCAACCAACAGCCAGGAUGUGGCUGCCCUCCAGCAGACCGUCCAGGCUGGGGUCUGGAGUGGGCUGAGGGGACUCGGGUGCUCACGGAAAAUCUAUUUAUUUACAUGCAUGUUCUCCAAAGUAACAAAACCUUGGUCUAGGCAGGUCCCUUGGCCAGCCCUUGGUGCUCGGGCUCUAGGUCCUUCCCUCUCCUCCCAGCCUCUCCCGUUCCAGCUGCACAGUCGCGUCUGGGAGCCUAGAAAACCCUGGGGGUGGUGGGUGUAGGGGCAGGAGCCCCACGGCUGCCUGAGCUCUGGAGACCCACAGGGUCGACACUGGAGCAGCCCCGUCCUUUGGUGGGGGAAGGGGGUAGAGGGCCAAGGGCAGGCGUGGUUCUUGGGGCAGG
Molecule: long non-coding RNA, 1788 nt
Filed under: Monodon monoceros (narwhal)
Lineage: Eukaryota; Metazoa; Chordata; Mammalia; Artiodactyla; Monodontidae
Description: lncRNA (ENSMMNG00015018756.1)
Source: RNAcentral